UACAGAGGUCCCAAGCGUUGUUCGGAUUUAUUGGGCGUAAAGGGCGCGUAGGCGGCGGAGUAAGUUGGGUGUGAAAUCCCGGGGCUCAACCUCGGAAUUGCAUUCAAUACUGCUUCGCUAGAGUACUGGAGAGGAGACUGGAAUUUACGGUGUAGCAGUGAAAUGCGUAGAUAUCGUAAGGAAGGCCGGUGGCGAAAGCGAGUCUCUGGACAGUUACUGACGCUGAUGCACGAAGGCCAGGGGAGCAAACGGG
This 253-nucleotide ribosomal RNA is filed under the name uncultured bacterium. RNAcentral's name for it is "partial 16S ribosomal RNA". It matches the Rfam family "Bacterial small subunit ribosomal RNA", at positions 524 to 776 of the family's 1533-position model. The record is from RNAcentral.